This 268-nucleotide long non-coding RNA is filed under the name Mytilus galloprovincialis (Mediterranean mussel). Lineage: Eukaryota; Metazoa; Mollusca; Bivalvia; Mytilida; Mytilidae. The record is from RNAcentral.
AGUUCAUCCAAUUUGUCAACUUUCCGGAUAUUUGGGAGUCUUCUCCUUACCUCUAGAAAUAUGUUAGGACGAUCUGGAUUGCUGAUAAUAAGAGUUGUUUCCCUAUUGUUCAAUAUUACUUCUUAUUCCUUGAGUGCCUUCGGUGUAGCGGUUUCUGUAAGAGCAAGGUGUCCUGCUGUUUCAAAAAGGCAUGUUAAUUCACCCAACUUCAUAAACUCUGGUCUAAAGCUUUCACCCCUACAAAGAAAUAAGGAAAAAUUUACAGGGC